GUCUAAGUGACAUAGUUUUUGUCUUGAUACCAUAUACUACUGUAAAAUAUGCUGCAAGUUGCUUUAGUAUUGAUUAAGUUAAGAAAUAUUCUAAUAGAGUACUGCUGUUUCUGACAAUGUACUGUAGACCUUACUCUCUUAGGGAAAAACAUGGUAAAGAUAAAAAUUAAAAACACACAUGACUGUGUAAUACAGUAACAUUUAAUAUUUAUGCUUUACAUAUACCUCUCUAUCACAAUUAUAUAUUAUAUCUUUAUUCGCAUUGUCAGUGUACUACUGUUCCUUUCUUUCACAGGUGAAAAAAUAUCUCUUCUCUGGAAAUUCAUUUCCAUUUACUUAAAGUUAAAUGGUUUGACUUUGAAUUUUCAUUAUCUGCUGUUGGAAGGAGCCUGUGACAGGCGAAGAAGAGUACAUGAGCAGGAAAAAUGCAAAAUAAUUUGGCUUUCGAGAGACUGUAAGCUCUUUGAACAUAUUGUUAUAACUGAUGAUGGUUGACAUUGCAAAUCAUUCUGUCUUCCUUUUACUUAUAAGUCUUGAUAUCUGUAAUAGAGUGUGUACAUACUUAAAUAUGGUGCUGUUUGGUUAGCAGAACACACAUCUGGAGUUAAAUUAUUUAGCUUACAGUUUAAAAAUCUUCACUGUUAGUUAGGAAGAUAUUUGCAAACUAAAUGAAUAUCCUUUAAUAUGGUUUUCAGGGAAAACAAGCAUUUAGGAAAAAAAAGAAACAUACCAUAUACGUGCAAAAUCUGCUAGCUUGAGUGUACCUUUAUAGUUACCAAACAGUAUUUCCUCAGGUAUGGACUGCAUUUUUGUAUUGUUCAUUUUAUCACACACAAUAUUGUAUAAUCUACAAAAUAACAAUUUUUGCAAGCAAAUGCCAUGGGAUUUAUUAUUAAAAUAUGAUGCUGCAGGAAACUAAAAUUACUACUAACCUUUCAAAAGAGGUCCAGGGGUAAGUGCUCACUAUCAGAUAGAGAAAUUAGAAUUUUAGUCUCCCGUUAACUUCACUCAGAGUUGUGGGAAGAUCAGUAUCUUUGAGUGCCAAACCACUGGUUUUCAUACAUUAAUAUUCAGAAAUCUGGGCAACUCCAAAUGGAGACCACUGUCUGAGACACAGUCCUUGUUUGGAAAGCAAAACUGAGGAUUUCCCGAGGCUUCAUGCUGUGAGAAAAGGAGCUGUGGAGCAGAAGAUGAGUCAAUGACUUUUCCACCACCAAGGACUGAAAUUAAUGUGAGUGUGAAUCUGUAUUUCUUUGUUCAGAAUUACUGUAAAUGUUCUCUCAUGAAGAAAUUGCUCAGUCUAAAGAUAAUUAUAGUUACACAGUCAUCCAGGUGAAUUAGUGCAGGGAAACGAAGGCGGCUCACCUCAUUACUAAUGGACACAAGCAGUAUGCAGCAACUGCCUCUAAACGCUGGCUGUUCUGAAGCGCCUUAGCCUGGAUACCAGCAGUAGUAUCGGCUUGGAUAGCAGAUGUGUAUGCCCUGCUCACAGCUAAUUAUUUCUGCAGAGUGACAGUAUGAUGGUGAUUAAAAAUAUAUAUUAAUAUAUAUGGUAUAUUAGACCUAUAAAUAUAUCUUGCCUGAUUUAUUUGGUCUGAGCUCAUCUAUAAAUUGUCUGGCUUCUGAAGGAAAAUGGCAAAAUUGUCUUGCGUGUAGAGGGAUAGAUUUUAAGUUAAAUCAGUGGUUACAACAAAAAAUCUAAAUGAAUGACAAACUCUGAAGAGCUCAAACAAGGCAAAUUGAAAUACAUAAAUAUCAGAGGGCAUGUGUAUAUCUUGGACAGAUAGGAAAUCUGAGAUCUGGAUGGAUGGAAGGAAAAAACAAAUCUUCAGAUUAAAAUUUCCCUCUGAGAAACUAAGAAGAAUAAAAGAGCAUUUUAGUACA
RNAcentral lists this long non-coding RNA (1884 nucleotides) under Calidris pygmaea (Spoon-billed sandpiper). RNAcentral's name for it is "lncRNA (ENSCPGG00000005545.1)". The record is from RNAcentral. Lineage: Eukaryota; Metazoa; Chordata; Aves; Charadriiformes; Scolopacidae.